Long non-coding RNA from Engraulis encrasicolus (European anchovy), 350 nucleotides. RefSeq lists it as uncharacterized. The record is from RefSeq and is a predicted model, not a curated record. NCBI's taxonomy places the organism in Eukaryota, Metazoa, Chordata, Actinopteri, Clupeiformes, Engraulidae. The transcript has 3 exons.
CACAGCAGAGGACUCCGAUGCGGAGCCGCGUUCAAGUCACCACAUCCGUGUCACUGUCACAUUCCUUUGGGUUCCACUUGGUGGAUCAGGGUCGCCACCGUGCGCCGCCCCAAAUUCUACCGUCAAAACGCGGACCAUAAUCGCAUCCAUAUCUGAUUCACAAACGCGGACGCGCUGUAAAUCUAACGGACGUUGGUACAGUUUUUGUUGGGGCAGACACGACCGAACAGCGCUCUCCAUAAACAGGUGGAAUUACCUCUGGGUCGGACAGGGCUAGCCAGCUGUAAUCCACCCUGCUACGGUGAUGCCCGCCUGCCUCCCGGCUUUUACGACCAAGAAUCGGAGCGCUG